CCCUUUUCACAAGCGUUGGUAGCAUACUUGUAACUAUUGUGGAGACUUGCGAGCAUAACUACCGCUCUCGUCGUUCACAACGAGGCCAAUCUUCAAGUCAACGACUAAAACGCUACGGAGAAGCUACUAUGUGACAUCCAUAUGAGACAGUAUUCUCCCUUAAUCUCAUAUAGUCGAGAAGAGUCACACAGUCACCAUAGCAGCCGAUGCUUCAAAACCUAAUGCUGCCAUUUAAAAUUUAUUUAACAAGUUUUGAAAUUAAUCUGCUUUAAUAAAUGAAAAUUAUGCUAAAAUUUACUUUUUCAUGUAUGAAGAAGAAAAUAAAUUAAUCCCCCUUAUUAUUUGCAUUACGUCCUUGUCACUGUCAUUAAAAUUCCCUUUUUACAAGCUUUGGUAACAUACUUGUAACUAUUGUUGAGAGUAGCGAGCAUAACUAUCGCUUUUGUCUUUCACAACGGGGCCACUCUUCAAUGCAGUACUUAGAAUGUUACGGAGACACUACAUUUCAUUUUAGACCUACCUUAAUGACACCUUGUUGAGCACGAUAAAGUUCUGCAAACCAGGUUUUCAUCCGGCAUACAAAAUACUAUUCCAUGUUGACAACAUUCCAUUCAUGUUAACA
RNAcentral lists this long non-coding RNA (622 nucleotides) under Mytilus galloprovincialis (Mediterranean mussel). Lineage: Eukaryota; Metazoa; Mollusca; Bivalvia; Mytilida; Mytilidae. The record is from RNAcentral.